This 277-nucleotide ribosomal RNA is filed under the name uncultured bacterium. RNAcentral's name for it is "partial 16S ribosomal RNA". It matches the Rfam family "Bacterial small subunit ribosomal RNA", at positions 28 to 296 of the family's 1533-position model. The record is from RNAcentral.
AGCGAACGCUGGCGGCGUACCUAACACAUGCAAGUCGAGCGGGGGUCCGGGGGCAACUCCGGGCCCUAGCGGCGAACGGGUGAGUAACACGUGGGUAACCUGCCCUCGAGACCGGGAUACCCUCUCGAAAGGGAGGCUAAUACCGGAUACGCUCCCCGGGUCGCGAGACCGGGGGAGGAAAGGUGGCGCAAGCUGCCACUCUUGGAGGGGCCCGCGGCCUAUCAGCUCGUUGGUGAGGUAACGGCUCACCAAGGCGACGACGGGUAGCUGGUCUGAG